Molecule: transfer RNA, 73 nt
Filed under: Chloroflexota bacterium
Lineage: Bacteria; Bacillati; Chloroflexota
Description: Chloroflexi bacterium (groundwater metagenome) tRNA-Pro
Rfam family: tRNA
About the family: Transfer RNA (tRNA) molecules are approximately 80 nucleotides in length. Their secondary structure includes four short double-helical elements and three loops (D, anti-codon, and T loops).
Source: RNAcentral
CGGGGCGUGGCGCAGUUGGUAGCGCGCAUCGUUUGGGACGAUGAGGCCGAUGGUUCAAGUCCAUUCGCCCCGA